This 251-nucleotide ribosomal RNA is filed under the name uncultured bacterium. Its description in RNAcentral is "partial 16S ribosomal RNA". It matches the Rfam family "Bacterial small subunit ribosomal RNA", at positions 525 to 776 of the family's 1533-position model. The record is from RNAcentral.
ACGGAAGAUGCGAGCGUUAUCCGGAUUUAUUGGGUUUAAAGGGAGCGUAGGCGGGCGAUUAAGUCAGCGGUAAAAUCGUGUGGCUCAACCAUACCAUGCCGUUGAUACUGGUUGCCUUGAGUGUACACAAGGUAGAUGGAAUUCGUGGUGUAGCGGUGAAAUGCUUAGAUAUCACGAAGAACUCCGAUUGCGAAGGCAGUCUACUGGGGUACAACUGACGCUGAGGCUCGAAAGUGCGGGUAUCAAACAGG